UACGGAGGGAGCUAGCGUUGUUCGGAAUUACUGGGCGUAAAGCGCACGUAGGCGGCUAUUCAAGUCGGGGGUGAAAGCCCGGGGCUCAACCCCGGAACUGCCCUCGAAACUAGGUAGCUAGAAUCUUGGAGAGGCGAGUGGAAUUCCGAGUGUAGAGGUGAAAUUCGUAGAUAUUCGGAAGAACACCAGUGGCGAAGGCGACUCGCUGGACAAGUAUUGACGCUGAGGCGCGAAAGCGUGGGGAGCAAACAGG
Molecule: ribosomal RNA, 253 nt
Filed under: uncultured bacterium
Lineage: Bacteria
Description: partial 16S ribosomal RNA
Rfam family: Bacterial small subunit ribosomal RNA
Source: RNAcentral